This is a long non-coding RNA of Vicia villosa (hairy vetch), 1492 nucleotides long. RefSeq lists it as uncharacterized. The transcript is spliced from 3 exons. The record is from RefSeq and is a predicted model, not a curated record. Lineage: Eukaryota; Viridiplantae; Streptophyta; Magnoliopsida; Fabales; Fabaceae.
UUUUUUUGUUACAAUGUUAGCCACCAAAAACGGUGGUGCACUGGGCUGAGUGGGGUGUGAAUUACAUGAAUGUAUUAGGCCCGAAGCUUAUUGAUCCAUCACGAUUUUGUUUCACAUUUAUUCUAUUCCAUAGUUAAUCAACAUGUUAAUAUUCAGAUUAAGUUCUCAAUUAGUCCUAAUUAACAGCAUUUACUCAGACUAAUAUCACAGUUAACACAAAACAGAAUCAAAAAGGGAUUAGGGUUCGUACACUUGUGGCUAUUGGACUUUACGUGAACGAGCCUUCUUCCUCCUUGAUGUUCAAAUCGGCGACGACGGCGCACGGAAACGGCACCGGAGCUUCACUCCUCUGUUCAAUACUUCCAAUCAAACAAAGGUGUACUCGCGCCGUUCAUCUCUCCGAGCUCAUCGCUCUCGAUAUCAGCCAUGAACAAUCGAAGCAAAUCCGCAUCGCCUUUCGUCUCAAGUCUCUCCGAUGUGUUUCAUCUCCGUCGAGAUCUUCCUCCGCCGCCGUGGACAAAAAUACGUGACUACAUCAUCUCUUCUCUCCCCUUAAGAACUCAGCGCCGCUCGCAAUCUCUCAACCUCUUUCAGACGCGAAUCAAAGCGAGGAAAUCCUGAGAACAAGCUUCAGAUUCCUCAGUUGCGAUGAAGCUUAUAGGAAGACCGAGUUAACCAGGUUCUUGCCGAUUGAAGCGUGAGGAAUCCUUAUGAAUUUUCAGAGUGAAGGUUGAAUGGAUUGAGGCUGAUUCUAUGGUGAUUGGAGAUUGGAGAAGAUUGAUUGAAAGAAGAAGUGUGGAGAAUCGGUGAGGUUGUGGAGAAGCUUGGAUCGAGAGUUUUUCAGAUGAGUUUGAUGAAGGUUCUUGGAGAUUUCUUGCAGACUAAAUCGAAGGUGAAGUUGAUGAAGGUUCCCGAAGAAGAAUUCUGUUAUAUGAAGUUUGUAGUGAAGAAGAUUGAAAGGUUCGAAGAGUUCAUUACCGGUCGAAGAGAAAGAGAUGGUGUAGAGGAUGAAGAUGAGAAUUGGUUCAGAGAGAUGAAGUUUUGUUACGCUUUUUUCAUUUUCUGUUAUUGAAUUUGUGAUUGUUGAAGAAGAUGAAGAAGGUGCAGAGAGGUUGUAGAUUCAGAGAGAAAGUUUGUUACACUUUCAAUUAUCUUCUUUUUUUUUCUCGCAAGUUUUUGAUGUGAGGAUUUGUUAGCUGCAAGUGCGGUUUUAUUCUGAUAGGUGCAGCAGGCUGUUUUGCUUUAUUGUUGCAGGAUAAUUACAGUUACUGGGAGGAGAUAUAUGGCAAGUCCAUUGGAAGGAACUAAACACGAAUGAAGGUACAUGAAGCUGAAGAUGGGUGAAGAUGACCGACCAAGAAUUACAUUCAGAUUAUUGAUCAAAUGUUGUAAUUUUGUAAACAUUCUUUUGGACGAUUUGUAUUGGACUGAUGGAAUGAUGAUGUUGUAUGGAUAUUUUGUAAUGAAUUUGAAGGAGUUUCACCUUUGGACA